RNAcentral lists this transfer RNA (87 nucleotides) under Candidatus Omnitrophota bacterium. Its description in RNAcentral is "tRNA-Leu". It matches the Rfam family "tRNA". Rfam says of the family: Transfer RNA (tRNA) molecules are approximately 80 nucleotides in length. Their secondary structure includes four short double-helical elements and three loops (D, anti-codon, and T loops). Further hydrogen bonds mediate the characteristic L-shaped molecular structure. tRNAs have two regions of fundamental functional importance: the anti-codon, which is responsible for specific mRNA codon recognition, and the 3' end, to which the tRNAs corresponding amino acid is attached (by aminoacyl-tRNA synthetases). tRNAs cope with the degeneracy of the genetic code in two manners: having more than one tRNA (with a specific anti-codon) for a particular amino acid; and 'wobble' base-pairing, i.e. permitting non-standard base-pairing at the 3rd anti-codon position. The record is from RNAcentral. Lineage: Bacteria; Pseudomonadati; Candidatus Omnitrophota.
GCCGAGGUGUCGGAACUGGCAUACGAUCCGGUCUCAAAAACCGGUGGCCGUAAGGCCAUGAGGGUUCGAUUCCCUCCCUCGGCACCA